Molecule: ribosomal RNA, 266 nt
Filed under: uncultured prokaryote
Description: partial 16S ribosomal RNA
Rfam family: Bacterial small subunit ribosomal RNA
Source: RNAcentral
UACGUAGGUCACAAGCGUUGUCCGGAUUUAUUGGGCGUAAAGGGAGCGCAGGCGGUUUGUUAAGUCUGAUGUGAAAGCCCACGGCUCAACCGUGGAACGGCAUUGGAAACUGGCAAACUUGAGUGCAGAAGAGGAAAGUGGAAUUCCAUGUGUAGCGGUGAAAUGCGUAGAUAUAUGGAGGAACACCAGUGGCGAAGGCGACUUUCUGGUCUGUAACUGACGCUGAGGCUCGAAAGCGUGGGGAGGCGAACAGGAUUAGAUACCCU